This 2335-nucleotide long non-coding RNA is filed under the name Homo sapiens (human). RNAcentral's name for it is "HSALNT0362202". The record is from RNAcentral. Lineage: Eukaryota; Metazoa; Chordata; Mammalia; Primates; Hominidae.
ACCUCUAGGCACAGCUAAAGAAAUGUGUUACUGACAAGCCUGCAGGCCACAUGGCGAGAUGGAAAGCAAGCAGUAAAGACCAAAGAAACUCGUUGAGGACAAUGGAAGAUGGGCUCAGAAGAAAAUGGAUACAGCUGAAGCUAGAUGGGUCAUGGGUGAAAGCAGGACAGGACCUCAUUCUCCAACAGAUACCAAAGGAAAACCAGAGUUGGGCUGUCUGAGUCCUUGGGCCACAUGAGCUGGGAAGGUACAGGUUAUUGGGCUCACCAAAGAACCAAGACCAGGACAUGGGGUACGUAUUUCAGAUCUCAGCUCAAAUUUCCUUUCUUUCAGGAGACCUUUCCCAGCCCAACAAUUGCCUAGGGGUCCCUGUUAAAUGUUUCCUUGCACUUUCUCCAGCGUAACAGUUAUUGCUCCUGAUGCCAUUGCCUGUCUCAGGCUGUCAACUCCAUGAAGGUGGAGAGUGCCUCACUUGCUUAUUGCUGUACACCAGUGCUCAGAAUUGUGCAGAGCAAGAGCAGGGAGUCUCUCAGAACCUGGGGUUCUGAGGAGCACAGUCUGAAAAUCACUGAAGAAUGAUUGGCUGGGGUCAAAUUUUUGAGAAGGAAGCUACCACAUUCCCUUUCCCUGCAUUUCAAAUUCAGCUAACUGUACUUGCUGUGGCUGAGAGAGCCAAUGUCCAACUCCUGAGACCCCUCAGCUCUAUGGUAUCAAGCUUGUUGGUGCUGGUGGCUGGGACAGGCAAGGGAUACCUGAUCCCACUGGAGUAUCCUCAGGGCAAUAUUCAGCAGCAGGGCAGAAGCAGGGAAGAUGACAUGAGAAACUCUUCCUCCCUUAUAGUAGAUGCAGGCUGGAGCCAUCAUGCCCUUCCUGCCAAAAUUCAGGGCUGGCAAAUACUACUACUUCCCUAGCCAGUGCCCAUGGCAGACAUCACCAACUUUAUCACAGCACAGUUUCCUGCUGAGCCUGGAAGCCCCUCCCAAUCCUUCUCCAUCUGGCACCAAGGAUGAAACCUAUUUGUUAUCCCAGGUCCAGGUGAUUUUAUCCAAGCUAGCUGCUGGGAUCAGGAAGGUCAGACAUCCAAAUGCUGGUGAGGGACUUUGCUUUCUCACAUAGAUGUGGAAGGUGUGCAUUAUUCCUGGACCCUUUUCAAGCUGACAACUGGUCUCUCUGAGCCUCCUGCACUUAUUUUCAUAUGCUAUAAAUCACCCGUUUCACCUUGCUCCUUUCAUGGGCACGCCUCCCUGCUUAAUUGCAGGUGAUAGUUGGGCUCCAGGAAAGGCCCAAUUAGGCUGCAGCAAUCAUCUUCCUCUUAAUUUAAAACAACUAAUAGGACAUUGGUUCUCCUUCACACUGGGAGAUGAGCCCAGAAGGGUCCAGUACAGUCAUCAUGGCAGGAAGGUUACAUUUCCAUUUGCUUGGUUCCUUUCUCUUCAUCUUUAAGGCAAUUAUGAGCCCAAAGGCAUCUAGAUGUAGUUAUAAGCCUGGCUAAAUUAUCAUUUUAAGUGUCUUGAACACAGGGGUCAAGGUUUUGGAAAAUACUUUCACCAACUCCAGUUGGUGCCCAGGGUUACACUCCACACAACAGGUGAAGUGUCAAAGCUGCAGGCGUAAGGGAAUUACUGCCUAAGUAGUUCAAGUUAAACAUCAUCUACUUUCUGAAAAGUCUGCAUAACUUUCAGAUGAAGUGGAAUUACAAAAUCAAUAACCUCUGAAUUGCUCAAAUCAUAUCCAGUGGUAUCAGCCAUGUGGAAUAGCAGAGAAUGACAAAGGACACAAAAAAGGCCCCCAAACAAUACAAACAGAUGCCGUAAAGUCCCACAUUCAGAUUCACAGACUGAACAGCAGGGGAUCCCUCUAGUUCCUCUCUUAGAGCUUAUUUACUCCAAGUUUACAAACAAUUCUAAUGAGCACAGAUAAGCCUCAUUUGCAGAUAAUGGCACAUGAUGCAAAGCACACUUAAGGGUGGGCAUAUUACUAGAUGUGGGGACAUUAACAGCAAUAUUGAGUGGCCACUAGAAGCAAAGUCAGAAAAAAAAUAUACUGGGCCAUGAUAGUAACUCCAAAAAUUAUAGUAGUUUGGAGAUAUUUCACAAUAUAAGGUCAAUAAUCCUACAAGCCAUGAGAGUUCAUCCUACAAAUGCCAUUUUAGUAUAAUGAGGCAUCAUAAGGAUACUGAAUCAUUCAUAAAAGGCAAAUUACAUUGUAUACUCUUUUAACGGAGGAGAGGGAAGAUAGCAUUCAUUUCAGAAAUAUUUUUAUGCCAAGCUGCAUAUAUUUUUAAAUGUUUUGGAAAUUAAAGGGGUAAGACUUGGUCAUCUGGAAAAUUAAUAAA